RNAcentral lists this transfer RNA (74 nucleotides) under Bacteriophage sp. Its description in RNAcentral is "tRNA-Pro". It matches the Rfam family "tRNA". From Rfam's summary of the family: Transfer RNA (tRNA) molecules are approximately 80 nucleotides in length. Their secondary structure includes four short double-helical elements and three loops (D, anti-codon, and T loops). The record is from RNAcentral. RNAcentral also lists the same sequence under 1 other name.
GUUGGAUAUGGUUCAAAGGUAGAAUAUCUAGUCGUGGAGACUAGAGGACAGGGGUUCGAAUCCUCAAUUCAACA